RNAcentral lists this transfer RNA (63 nucleotides) under Elliptorhina chopardi. Its description in RNAcentral is "tRNA-His". The record is from RNAcentral. Lineage: Eukaryota; Metazoa; Arthropoda; Insecta; Blattodea; Blaberidae.
GCUUAGGUAGUUUAAUAAAAACGUUGAUUUGUGGUAUCAGAAAUAUAAAUGCUAUUCUAGGUU